CGGACAAUUCCUCCUUGACAGCCAGUCUCAUCAGGCCUCAUCAUGAUAACCAGUAGGUGUGAUUUCCGUAGCACAGGAAAAUUGUAUCCUUGGAAUGUGGAAUCAACCCAACACAUUUAAAUUAGUUUCAAAAGUAGAACUAGGCGGCAGGGUUUUCUAAACACACUUUCUCUCCCCUUCUCUUCUCUCUCUUACACUCCUCCCCCCCCAAUCUACUCCCUCCCUAGACAGGCUUACUCUACUGGUAGCUUGAAUUUGUGAAAUCGGCUCUAAUCUCCCUCAACCCCCCACCCCCCCACCAAAUCCUCUAAAGGUAUUAUUUAAAGGUGAAAAAGAACAGAAGGCAUCAGAGAGGAAGUUUUGGAAGUAGAAAAGCAGAUGGGGUAAGUGACCCAGCAAACAGCAGGAAGUUCCUUCUUCAGCCUGAGUGUACAAAGCCCUGACUUCCAUCAAGGAACCACCCAAAGGCUCCAGACCCAAGAUGUCUGCCUCAACUACACAGAGGAACUCAUGGUACAGGAAUCCCACCCAAGUUGCUGAAACGUAAGAGGGAAAGUGAGACAGGACUGCUGAUCCCCGAGAUUCGCUGAGGGCAGAGGUCACGUCUUAGGCUCUCAUCUCCCCACACGGCAAGGCAAAAAGCAAGCACGGUUCUGGCAAAACCUUCCUCAAGCCUCUAAAUGAAGCCCCAGAACCGCGGCCUCUAGGAAGACAUAGCGACCCACCGUCCCCACCGUCCUUCAGAUGUCGCCCUCCGCUGUGCGUGUCAGCGCUCUCUCCAUGCACACUCCGCGGGGAUCAUGUACACACUACGCUGC
Molecule: long non-coding RNA, 818 nt
Organism: Canis lupus familiaris (dog)
Lineage: Eukaryota; Metazoa; Chordata; Mammalia; Carnivora; Canidae
Exons: 3
Source: RefSeq, a predicted model, not a curated record